UACGGACAUGUCAAGUUGAAACACCGCUUCCCAUACGAUCGCCGAAGUUAAGCAACGUCGAGCCUGGUCAGUACCUAGAUGGCAGACCGUUUGGGAAUACCAGAU
Molecule: non-coding RNA, 105 nt
Organism: Acanthosepion pharaonis
Lineage: Eukaryota; Metazoa; Mollusca; Cephalopoda; Sepiida; Sepiidae
Source: the annotation of a GenBank genome assembly